This 494-nucleotide ribosomal RNA is filed under the name uncultured bacterium. Its description in RNAcentral is "partial 16S ribosomal RNA". It matches the Rfam family "Bacterial small subunit ribosomal RNA", at positions 28 to 507 of the family's 1533-position model. The record is from RNAcentral.
GACGAACGCUGGCGGCGUGCCUAAUACAUGCAAGUCGAGCGGACUUACAAAGCUUGCUUUUUAAGUUAGCGGCGGACGGGUGAGUAACACGUGGGCAACCUGCCUGUAAGACUGGGAUAACUUCGGGAAACCGGAGCUAAUACCGGAUAAUCCUUUUCUACUCAUGUAGAAAAGCUGAAAGACGGUUUACGCUGUCACUUACAGAUGGGCCCGCGGCGCAUUAGCUAGUUGGUGAGGUAACGGCUCACCAAGGCGACGAUGCGUAGCCGACCUGAGAGGGUGAUCGGCCACACUGGGACUGAGACACGGCCCAGACUCCUACGGGAGGCAGCAGUAGGGAAUCUUCCGCAAUGGACGAAAGUCUGACGGGGCAACGCCGCGUGAGUGAUGAAGGUUUUCGGAUCGUAAAACUCUGUUGUUAGGGAAGAACAAGUACGAGAGUAACUGCUCGUACCUUGACGGUACCUAACCAGAAAGCCACGGCUAACUACGUG